This is an RNA transcript of Ctenocephalides felis (cat flea), 1837 nucleotides long. It is a transcript of the gene named TAR DNA-binding protein 43-like, with no coding region annotated. The transcript has 11 exons. Lineage: Eukaryota; Metazoa; Arthropoda; Insecta; Siphonaptera; Pulicidae. The record is from RefSeq and is a predicted model, not a curated record.
CAAAUGGCGAGCAUUCGUGCUGAUUAGAUAUUAUUGUGUGUGAAUCAAAAAGUUUGAUUUUGUUGUAUGUAUCGUGAAUAAUAAUAUUAAAACCCUUAUUUAAGCAUUGUUGUGGCUGAAUGAAGAUAUAAUUGUUUUAAAUUAUAUUAUUUGUCAGAUAUUUGGAGUGAUAUAUACCGAUCUUGAAAGUACUGAGUGUGUUUAGUAGAUCGAUACACCAUGUCAACAGAAUAUGUGCAAGUUGCUGAAGAAGAAUGCGAGGAACCAAUAGAAUUACCUUUGGAGGACGAUGGUACUCUACUGUUAUCUACUUUAACAGGACAGUUUCCUGGAGCCUCAGGUUUGAAGUAUCGCAAUCCUGGUUCUAAAUCUAUGCGUGGAGUCAGGCUCGCUGAUGGAAGGAUGCAUCCACCAACAUUACAAGGAUGGAAAGAUGAGAUAUUUUUCUGUGUUUUUCCAAAAGAAAACAAGCGUAAAUCUGAUGACACUUUAGAAAAUUCUACAGCAAAAACAAAACGUAUGGAAACAAGAUUACGUUGCACUGACUUAAUUGUUUUGGGUCUCCCAUGGAAAACUACUGAACAAGAUUUAAGAGAGUAUUUUGAAACUUUUGGAGAAGUAUUGAUGGCUCAAGUUAAGAAAGAUACUAAGACGGGACAAUCAAAAGGAUUUGGAUUCGUAAGAGUUGGUUCUUAUGAAGCUCAAAUGAAAGUUUUAUCACAGAGACACAUGAUUGAUGGCAGAUGGUGUGAUGUGAGGGUUCCUAAUUCCAAGGAGGGUAUGGUUCAACAAAUGCCUUGUAAAGUAUUUGUGGGAAGGUGCACAGAAGAUUUAAGCGCAGAAGAUCUUCGUGAAUAUUUCUCGAAGUUUGGUGAAGUAACUGAUGUAUUUAUUCCUCGUCCGUUCAGGGCAUUCAGUUUUGUUACAUUCCUGGACCCAGAAGUUGCUCAAAGUUUGUGUGGGGAGGACCAUAUUGUUAAGGGUGUUUCUGUGCAUGUGUCGAAUGCGGCUCCAAAAUCCGACCAAAAUAGAAAUCAAAAUAAUUCCAGAAGUAAUAUGAACAUGAACCAGUAUAGUGGAGGACCUAAUAACCGAGGAGGCUACAUGAGUAAUGGAAUGGGACAACCGGCCAAUGUUUGGGCUAAUAACGGAGGAGGAUCUCAUCAAGGACGUGGCAAUAUAGAUAUGCCGAAUUUGCAGACUCUUGGAAUAAAUCCACAAGGACAAAACAAUGGUGGAGGUGGCGGUGGACAAAAUCUUGGAAAUAUGGUUGCCCCUGUUUACGAUUACAGGUAUGGCAGCCCUGAGUGCGCUCCCUAUGAAUCCCGCUCUGGUCGCAGCCGCUCUCAACCAAGCCGGAUGGGGCCUUAUUGGCAACCUUCAGCAGCAGCAGGGUACGACAGGUGGACCUCAGCAGGGGGGAACUACGGCUACAGGAGCGGAUCAGGGCUUCGCGGGCCCGAGCGGCGCGGGACCAGUGAGUACACAUGGAACGCAGGGCCACCAUCCGCAUCAACACCAGGGUCAACAGCAAACUCCGGGUGGCAAUUUUCUGAAUUGGAUGUCCCAACAGUCGGGUGGUAACCAACAGAGAACUAAUCAAUCUUGGCCACCACAAAUUGCAGCACAGGGACCUGACCCAAAUAAAUCCUCUUUCAAGUAUGAGUAAUCAGUUUGUCAAUGGAAUCACAGAACAACAAUUCGGUAGGUUUAUUAAAUCUAAGAAUAGUUAUUUAAACUAAACUCUUUAAUUAAUAUUUAUGAUAUUACAAAUUUAAAUUGACUUUUUUAAAAUUAUGUAUAUGUAUUAUCAAAUGACGUGCGAACUACCAGGUAU